This is a long non-coding RNA of Bombus terrestris (buff-tailed bumblebee), 2365 nucleotides long. RefSeq lists it as uncharacterized. The transcript is spliced from 2 exons. The record is from RefSeq and is a predicted model, not a curated record. NCBI's taxonomy places the organism in Eukaryota, Metazoa, Arthropoda, Insecta, Hymenoptera, Apidae.
ACAUCGUUUUUAUUCUAUGCAUGCAUUCAAAUAAAUCCAUUCUAUCUUAUAUCUUUACAUUUACAUAUUCAUUUUUCUUUCUUAGAAGAAUUUUUCAAGUUUUUAUUUUACUUAAAUCCUACUUACAAUUUGUUCCUUUUUGUUUAUUACUGAUCUCAGCAAGUAUGAUAGCAGUAUAUUAAUUAUUUGUGUAUUUGUUCGUGGAACUUCAUAUAAUCGCGUAAUUUUCCACGUAUAGCGAAGAUUUUUCUAGUUAAAUAUUUUUCCUCACCGCUUCAAUCGUCGUCCCAGGACCAUCUUGUCUGAUACUUUUGUAAAUGAUCACGUUAGUGACGAGUUUAGUAUUUUACGUUGGAUAGAAUUAUCAGGUGUUUAAUUUUGCAAAAUUUACAGUAGGUUAGAGGCCUACCUGCGCGAAAUUCGCCAUCACGCGCUCGUAAAGAGUUUUACCGUAAAAUUCUAACCGAGCCCCGAGUGGUUUGCGGCUGACAGCUUAGCAGGAAUUUUAUCUGGAGUCGGUAGAAGUCUCCUCCUUUCAGCGAAAGGCUUAGAGCGCGACAUCUUGGUUCUAUCUUCGUGAAUAACGAUUGGGCACUUUUUCCAAAAUUGUUCAUCCUCCUUAUGGUAUCUUGCUCCACGAAGGACGCCAAUUAAGCAAAUGUAGAAGAUGGUUCAGUAAGGAGCAAAAGCCUUAGUCCACGGAUAUCGAACAGAAAUAUCUCGCUUUCCUUAAUAAAUCUCUUACGAAUAAAUUUCACUAGACAUUUUUUAAAAAUUUAUUGUGAUCGAUGGAUCCAAAUGUUCUUUUGUGAAAUUUUAACAUAUAGGCAUUGUAUAAUAAAUAUAAUACGACAUUAAAAUAGUAAUAGAAAGCAAUAGGUAAUAUACAAUAAUAAUAAACGAUGAAGUAAAUGAAAACAAACAAAUGGAGUUUGUUAAUAAGAGCGAUAAGAAUUAACAGGAUACGCUCUGUUGAAGAUUAAUUGAAAGCUGUUUAAAAGACUCGAUAAGAGAAACAGUAUCUCCAUAAUUGUAUUAAUGUUGAUAAUCGUUGUCGAACAGAGAAACGAUUCGUCGAUCGCCCGUUAUUCGCCAAGAGGGGGAAACUCUUACUUCCUACACGUUCACGUACGAUUCCCCUGUCAUUAACCCGUCGUAUUAUUAGUGUGGCCAGUGCCAAGCCGACGUGCUUCGGGCGUGUUUCCGACUGCCAAUGAAUUUCACGAUUUCCCUUUCUAAGCUGCGAGUCGAAUGAUUCCUAAUCCAGGAAUAACGGCUAUCUGUAGUGAAAUCCAUAGCAGCGUCGAUCAAUUCUCUUAUUCGCUGAUCGUGCGAGCGAUCGCGUGAUUGCACGAUCGUUUAGCUGUAAUUAAAGCGGCGCGGUGCUUUACGAUGGACGUCUCGCGAAUAAAUGUUCUUAUACGUUCCACAGAUUUUAGUCGUUUACUUUUUAGGAAUUGGAAAUGCCAGGAGAAAUUUUCUGGAAUUGGACACCCUGCUAUUAAUUUCACUUUCGAAUACUUUUCGAAUAAUUUAUAGCAUCUGGUUUGUAAAAUUCCUUAUGUAACUUUCGAUACGAAUCUCCUGAUUACGAAUUCUUAAAAUACAAAUUUUUAAUUUUUCAAUCUCCAAGUUCGCAAUUUUUUCAAGUUUCUUAAGAAUUUACCAUAAUAACGUUUUAACUUAUUUUUACGUGUUUUUUUCUAAUAUAAUCGCACUGUCAUUUUAAGGCAUCUUUUACAAACAUUUUCAGAAAUCUUAUGCUGUUCUUAUCGCAAAUUGCAAUUGAUACGGUCGUACAACCGCGAUUUGCAACUUUCUCCGUUGUUAGAUGGUAUAAACGUAUAUGAGUUAUUAUGUUAUUACUAAGGAAUUUGAUAUUAAAAAUUUUUGCCCUACUGAUUCUAUAACCCAGAGACGUUACGUUGGCAAGAGAAAUUAAUAUGCUUAACGAGAGUAGUAUGCUAAUAGAAAUCCUGAAUAGUAUGCUGUUAGCUGUUCGAAAUGAAAGUUGUUUUACAAGUUUGCUUGCGAUUUUUACAAGUAAUUAAAAGAAUUCUUCUGCACGUGCUUCGCGUUAUUAUGUAUUCAUCGAUAAAUCUUUCUUACACGUCUAUCAAAUGUUAUUACUUAUUGGCCCAGGAAGCCUGUAAUUUUAUUCCAUUAAUACCUAAUCCUACCAUUUUUCUUACGGUAAGUCUUCUUCGGUUUCGAAUUUCUUGGAAACCUUCUUCGAGGGAGAUCUCGUUAGAUGAACGAUUCUGGAAUCUUUGCUUCAGCGAGCAGCUUAUCCAGCCAUUAAGCGUCGAGCAACCCUUGAAACUAAAUCAACAGCUCGACCACGAGAUUACUUGGUUCUGGGAAA